This 99-nucleotide ribosomal RNA is filed under the name uncultured bacterium. Its description in RNAcentral is "partial 16S ribosomal RNA". It matches the Rfam family "Bacterial small subunit ribosomal RNA", at positions 255 to 353 of the family's 1533-position model. The record is from RNAcentral.
AGGUAGGCCCACCAAACCUUCGAUGGAUAGGGGUUCUGAGAGGAAGGUCCCCCACAUUGGAACUGAGACACGGUCCAAACUCCUACGGGAGGCAGCAUG